CGGCAGCGAGGGGCUCGCAGAGGUGCUCGGAUUCUCGUAGCUGUGCCGGCCCAUAAUGAUUCUGAGCUAAAACACAAAGUAAAAACCAGAUUCAUUGCCACCAGCGCUCACCUCGCCUGACUUAAAAAAAGGUUAUGCUCCUUUAGAUCUGUAAACUCAGUCUCCUGACUGCCCUUCAUCCACUUUCUCAUCCAUCUGAAAUCCUCAUAUUUUGUAGAAGCCUGUUCUGUAAGUCUCUCUUUCCAGUUUCGUACAACAGAUACUCCUUCACAGCAAAGAUCUUUCACGUAAUCCCUCAAAACUAAAGACUCGGGCUGGAUGUGGUGGCUCACGCCUGUAAUCUCAGCACUUUGGGAGGCCGAGGCAGAUGGAUCACGAGGUCAGGAGUUCAAGACCAGCCUGCCCAAGGUGGUGAAACCCCGUCUCUACUAAAAAUACAAAAAUUAGCCGGGCAUGGUGGUGGGCGCCUGUAAUCCCAGCUACUCCAGAGGCUGAGGCAGAGAAUUGCUUGAACCCUGGAGGUGGAGAUUGAGAUGGCGCCACUGCAUUCCAGCCUGGGCGACAGAGCAAGACUCGGUCUCAAAAAUAAAUAAAUAAAUAAAAAUAAAUAAAUA
Molecule: small RNA, 614 nt
Filed under: Pongo abelii (Sumatran orangutan)
Lineage: Eukaryota; Metazoa; Chordata; Mammalia; Primates; Hominidae
Description: processed transcript
Source: RNAcentral